GACGAACGCUGGCGGCGUGCUUAACACAUGCAAGUCGAACGGAAAGUCCCUGCUUUUGUUGGCUGCUCGAGUGGCGAACGGGUGAGUAACACGUGAGUAACCUGCCCUUGACUUUGGGAUAACGUCAGGAAACUAGGGCUAAUACCGGAUAGGAGCUCCUGCUGCUUGGUGGGGGUUGGAAAGUUUCGGCGGUUGGGGAUGGACUCGCGGCUUAUCAGCUUGUUGGUGGGGUAGUGGAUUACCAAGGCUUUGACGGGUAGCCGGCCUGAGAGGGUGACCGGCCACAUUGGGCCUGAGAUACGGCCCAGACUCCUACGGGAGGCAGAAGUGGGGAAUAUUGCACAAUGGGCGGAAGCAUGAUGCAGCAACGCCGCGUGCGGGAUGACGGCCUUCGGGUUGUAACGCGCUUUCGCCUGUGACGAAGAGUGAGUGACGGUAAUGGGUAAAGAAGCACCGGCUAACUACGUG
Molecule: ribosomal RNA, 468 nt
Filed under: uncultured bacterium
Lineage: Bacteria
Description: partial 16S ribosomal RNA
Rfam family: Bacterial small subunit ribosomal RNA
Source: RNAcentral